GAUGAACGCUGGCGGCGUGCCUAAUACAUGCAAGUCGAGCGAACGGACGAGAAGCUUGCUUUUCUGAUGUUAGCGGCGGACGGGUGAGUAACACGUGGAUAACCUACCUAUAAGACUGGGAUAACUUCGGGAAACCGGGUCUAAUACCGGAUAAUAGUUUGAACCGCAGGGUUCAACAGUGAAAGACGGUCUUGCUGUCACUUAUAGAUGGUUCCUCGCUGCAUUAGCUAGUUGGUAAGGUAACGGCUUACCAAGGCAACGAUGCAUAGCCGACCUGAGAGGGUGAUCAGCCACACUGGAACUGAGACACGGUCCAGACUCCUACGGGAGGCAGCAGUAGGGAAUCUUCCGCAAUGGGCGAAAGCCUGACGGAGCAACGCCGCGUGAGUGAUGAAGGUCUUCGGAUCGUAAAACUCUGUUAUUAGGGAAGAACAUAUGUGUAAGUAACUGUGCACAUCUUGACGGUACCUACUCAGAAAGCCACGGCUAACUACGUG
This 497-nucleotide ribosomal RNA is filed under the name uncultured bacterium. RNAcentral's name for it is "partial 16S ribosomal RNA". It matches the Rfam family "Bacterial small subunit ribosomal RNA", at positions 28 to 507 of the family's 1533-position model. The record is from RNAcentral.